Bufo bufo (common toad) is the source of this 2096-nucleotide long non-coding RNA. RefSeq lists it as uncharacterized. The transcript has 3 exons. The record is from RefSeq and is a predicted model, not a curated record. Lineage: Eukaryota; Metazoa; Chordata; Amphibia; Anura; Bufonidae.
UUUUUUUUUUUUUUUUUUAAUCCUGGACAGCCCCUUUAAUCCAUUUUUUUUUUUUUGGUUUCCUUAUUUCUGAGUCCUGGGAUACAUUACAGAACACAGUGUUACAAAGCUGCUCGUAGAAAUUACGCUUUACCUGCCAGUUUCCAUUGGAUCUGCCAAUAAUGGCUGCUGUAGAAGAGAUUUUCCUUUUUAGAGAUCAGCGGCAUUGAGUGUAUCCGGCAGCUGCUGCUUUCCAACUUUACUCAUGGUAAAGGAACUCUAAACUGAUCCUGUGUUAUGCCUAGUGCAAGGGGGUGGAGCAUGACAUAGGAUUCUGUCUUUGUUUUUUCAUCACUGUCAUGCUCCGCCUCCUCAGGCCCUGAGGGUGAGUACUAUUAAAUGACCGAUGCAGGUUUUAAGCCUAGGCCAUUUAGCAAGACCGGCACGAUUUCCAUCCCCAUUUUGGAGUAAAGCACCACUUUAAUGGAGCCGAGCCGCGAUACCGACGAGCCGCCGCGUUUUUCGUAAUCCCGUACAACCCCUUUAAUAAUGGAAAUAUAUAUUUUUGUCCUUUUUUCUGAUGUAGUUUUAUGCACCAGAUUAAGUCCAGCCUGAAUCUGCUGUUCACAGGGUUCCUUUUUUGUGUGAAGAUUGUGUUUUUUUUAGUUUGGCUUUUGCUGGGGCUGCGCGUGCGAUCUUGGGCAAGACAAGUGUUGCGCGACCAGGAAUCGCGGUUCAUCCAUAGAAAUGAAUGGGGUCACUGUGCGGCUGGCACGUAUUGCAAAAAAAUCUACUACCGCUGCGUUUUAUGCGAUUCUAGCAUCAUGGUCGCAGCAGCCUGCAAGUCGCACUGAGACUCCAUUCAUUGCUAUGGCUGCAGUGAGAUCUUACACGUGUCUCGCGCAAGAUCGCCGCGUAGCCCCAGCCUUAUGGGUGUUUCGAGGGAGGGUUCAUAUAACCCAGCACUAGGCAUGCACUCUUUUCCCCGUGCGAAAUUUAGUUUCCAAAUGUGUUGGGUUCUGGUUUUUACAUUUAUCUUUGCAAAAAUCUGAUUACUACGGCAGAAUUAAACGGCGAAAUGUUGUAAAUGUAUCCCUCCGAAGGCCUGCUCGUCAUAUCUCGGUGCACGUUGGAUCUUCAGUGGGGUGUACUGUACUAGAAAAACAUGGCUACCUCAAACACAGCACACGCCUGUCCAUAGGUCGUGUGUGGUAUUGCAGCUCAGCCCCGUUAAAGGGGUGUUCUGGUUUCACGGUAUCCUCAGGAUAGGUCCUCACUUUCAGGCCUCAUGCGCGCGAACUUGUGCCGGCCGGGCCCGGCGCUGCGGACUGCAAUUUGCGGUCCGCAACGCACAGGCACUGACCGUAGGGCUGCCGCAUGCGGAUGCAGGACUGAUUCGCUUGAAUGGGGUCCGCGAUCCGUGCCGCAAAAAAGUAGUGCAUGUGUGGGGUUCCGUGCCUCCGGUCCACACCGACCUUCCAGAUUGCAGACCCAUUCAAGUGCCCGUGGCCGGUGCCCGUGUAUUGAGGACCCGCUGUUUGUGGGCCGCAAUACGGCCACUGCCGGGCAAUGGCUGUGUGCAUGAGGCCUCAGACUGGUGGCGGUCCGACUGUUGGCACCCCUGAGCUGCAGUACUAGUCACAACCCAUGGACAGAUGUGGCGCUCUUCUUAAUUGACCCGAGUAGCCUGAAACGGGCUGGAUGCCACACAGCAGACAUGGGUAAGCUUAGACUGACAGGUUGCUAGGUGAAUGCAGCCUGACAACCCAAUAUAAAGGGCUGUCAGACAGUCUCUUCAUAGCAACCAUGUGAAAGGAGGAGCAGUAGCUUGGCAGCAGGCAAGUCUCCAUCUCAGCCUGCAUUAGUAAUCAGAUUUUUCUAAAGGAAUAAAAUAAUUAAAGGUAGGGAGGCUCUUUAAAGGAACAUUUAGGGGUGAAACACAUACUGUGGACUAUGACGAGUGCAGGGCUUGAAAGGGAGGUGCCCAUAAGAACCCCAAAGCACAAGUCCCUGUGUCAUGCUCCGCCCACUGAGGCCCUACACUUAGUAUAACACAAUUUUUUCUUGAAGCAACUUUUUUUAAAAAUAUAUAUAUAAUAUAAAUAUAAAUAUAUAUA